Molecule: non-coding RNA, 4011 nt
Organism: Microcebus murinus (gray mouse lemur)
Lineage: Eukaryota; Metazoa; Chordata; Mammalia; Primates; Cheirogaleidae
Source: RefSeq, a predicted model, not a curated record
UGACCUCGAGCUGUCUUCCUACCUCAGCCUCCCAGAGUGCUAGGGUUACAGGCGUGAGCCACCACACCCGGCCUUUCCAUGUUUUUUGAUGAGUGGGAUUGUGUGCUUCUUGAACAUGGAAAGGAGAGUAUUAUUUUUUGUUGCAUAACAAAUUGCCACAAAACUAAUAGCUUAAAAUAAACAUUGUCUCACACAGUUUCUGAGUGUCAGGGAUCCAGGAACAGCUUAGUUAAGUUGUUCUGGCUCAACUCUUGACUGCACAAAGUUGUAGUCACCUGAAGGCUUGAUUGGGGCUGGAGGAUCUGCUUCCAAAAUGGCUGUUGACAGAUGACUCUAGUUCCUUCCCGGUGGUUGGGAGAAGACCUCAGUUCCUCCUUGUGGGCCUCUUUACUGGGCUAGCUGAGUGUUCUCAAGCCAUGGAUUGCUGAUUUCUGGAUCUCUGAGUGAUCCAAGAGAGUGAGCAAGGAGGCUGAAAUGCCUUUUAUGACCUAGUUUCAGAUGUUACUCUGUCAUUUCUAAAAUAAGCUAUUCAUUAGAAUGAGUCACUAGGUCUAGCCCAUGUGUCAAGAGGAGAGAAAUCAAGCUCCACCUCUGAAAGGCAAAGUCUCAAAAAAUUUUUGUACAUAAUUUAAAGCUAUCAGGGUACAUGUUUUGCCACAAAAUUACACACCUAUGUGCAGAGUAUACUCCUCCCAAGGCUUCCAGAAGUUUUAUUCAUUACAGCAUUAACUGGAAGUCCACGUUCUCAUCAUCUAAAUCAGAUCCAGAUGUGGAACAGGUUUCUUGGGGUAGUAUUCUUUAUGGGCAGUAUCUCAAAUACAAUUCCUCUAGAUCUGAAAGCCUGUGAACUAAAGUUAUCUGCCUAGCUAUGUCCCCAUCCCACUUACAGUAGUGGUACAGGUAUAGGAUAACUUCUAUAGACAUUGCUGUUCAGAAAAGAAUGGGUGUGAGGAUAGGAGUCAUAUAGUAAUCACCAGUCAGUAGCAAUUCUGAAAUCCCAGCAGGCACAUGUUAGCAGUUCAUUGAUUAGGACUCAGUGCUUGGAAGAUCUGUGGGCUCUUGGCUCUGACAUUUGGGUUCUAUUCUUGGUUUUUUCCUAUAACAUACUUUCUUUUUCACAGAUGAAUGUACAUGGGAUAGCUGAAUAGUUUUCUCAGCCUGCUUCCUACCUGAAGAAGGCAGAGGUCCAGAGACCUCUUUACAUUUUAUACUCUUUCUCGUCCUUUCAUUUCAAGCUAGCGACAUUUCUCCAAAUAUAUUCUCUUAAUAACUUUGUUUCCAGUUAAGCUUACUGGUGUUUACUCCAAAGAACUCCACUCUAAAGCCACAACCAGUACAUAUCUUCAAGGUAAGACCUUCUCUAUCUUGGUUUUCUGUUGAGAUAGCUCAGAGACAGUACCAUUAAGAUUCUUAGAAGCACUACUCUUGGAGAUCGUCUCUGGGGCACACCCUUAAAUUCAGAGGGCCUUAGUCUGAUUGAAUGGUAUGGUAGUCCCCUCAUGUGUGGCGGAUAUGUUCCAAGCCCCCUAGUGGGUGCCUAAAACUGCAGAUAGUAUCAAACCCUAUAUAUACGAUGCAUUAAUUUCUUUUUCUUUAUUUACAGUUUCAUGGUUAGAAGACUUUUAUAUAGUGUAGAUCUUAGCAACCUCAGCCUAUGAUCGUUUUGUUGAGAACUUUCACCUCUUCACUUAAAGGAAACAGUUUAUAGCUUCCCUUUGGCAAAUCAAAAUUCCCAGCAUCACUACUCUUAGGCUUUGGGACUAUUAUUAAAUAAUGUAAGGGUUACUUGAACACACCACUGUAAUACUGCCACAGUCAAUCUGAUAACUGAGACAGCUGUAAGUGAAUAAUAGGUGAGUAAGAUAUAUAGCAUGGGUAUGGUGGACAGAAGGAUGAUUUAUGUCCUGGGCAGGAUGGAGUGGGACUAUGCUAGAUUUCAUCACAUUGCUCAGAAUGCCACUCAAUUUUAAGACCUAUGAAUUGUUUAGUUUUGGAAUUUUCCAUUUACUAUGUUUGGAUCACAGUUAACUGUGGAUAACCGAAACUGCUGAAAGAGAAACUGGAUGGAGGGAGGGGGAACUACUGUAUUCUGAAGCAUUACCUUUCAUCUUUCUGGGCCUUAAAAAAGGAUUUUAUAGUCAUGCUGUAAUGUGAGGAUGAGGAUUUUUCACCCCAAUGCACCUUUCUUCAGUGCCAUGGAUAUGAUCUUUGUUUGGCAGCAGUUAAUUUUAGGAUCUUUUGCCAUCUGAAGAGACUGGGAAUUUCUAAAACCAGCAAGUACUGGCUGUUUGUUGUUUAACAGUGCUUCCCUCAGCUUUUUUCUUUUUUUUUUUUUUUAAACUCAAGAGGGGAUAAGAUAUCAGAGAAGCUCAGCUUAUUUCUUUCCCCUCAUGUUUUAAGCAGCAAGAAGAAACCAGGCAGCAUGUUCAGCAUUCUGGCUGGAAAUCUCCUUGGCCAGAUGACUCAGUACAGUAGGUACAUUUUCUACUUUUCACAUACCUGUAGCUGAGAGUGUUAUUAAACUUUCUGCCACUACACAACUACAUAACCCCUAUCUCAAUUUUCUAAUAACAUUUUCCUUACUUCCUUUUAAGCUACACUGCAGCCUUCCUAGAGUCCAGCUUUUAACUCAGGCUUGUACGAGAACUCUCCUUGAAGUCCAUCGAGCCCAGUGCCCAGUUCCAAAGCCACUCCCAUAUUUUAGAUAUUGCUACAGCAGCACCUCCCCUCCAGUCCCCUGAAGGAAAGUCCUUGUCCAAGGAGUGAAGAGGGUGAACAGAGGAAUCCGGGACAUGGUAGGGAAGCCCUGAAGCUCUGCUUGCUGAGGACUAAUUGUGGCAAUUCAGAACCCCUCCUCUCUACGUGUCUGUUAUCCUCUGGCCAGGAGCGCCUCUGCUGCCACAGGAAAAAAACCCUCAAGGCCUCGUCCUUUACCUGCAUUGGGUCCUGAACAAGUUUAUUUGUUAGAGCUUCAUAGGGAAAGGGUUUAUAAUGUUCACAUCUAUGGAAAACAUAUUUAUCUAACAUCACAUCAGCCAAAUAGAGUGAAAAACAGUAGAACUCAGCCUACACUGGAGGAAGAGAGCAACGUCCUUAACAUGCAGCGGUCACCAAGCUUUGCCCUCUCAUUGGUGUCCUCCUUCACAUAUCAGUGGAAUAAAAUAUUUGACAUAUGUUCUUUCUAUAUUUUAAUGAGGAUCAGGUGUUUCUCUUUCAAAAAUAAUAUUCUGUCCUCUUGUAGGUUAUCCACUGAGGUGCCCUGUGCACCUGCCGUAUCUGAACUUGUGUCUGCAGAGGAAGCUGUGUUUAAACUCAGGGAAUACUUUUCUUGCAUCCUGUAGUGAUUCCUAAGAUGUGGUACAUAUUUACCUUUGUUGACCUGGUUUGCUUUUUUUUUUUCAUAGAUAUCCAUGUUCUUUAUAUGAGAAUGGGCUGUAGAUGAAUAUUUGGGGUCAUCAGCCUAUAGGUAACCACUGGGCUGGCAAAGGGGCUAGGGAACAAUCCAGAGUGUAUUCUGUGACCAAUGGAGUGGCCCUAGCACUGAGGACACAGCACAGAACUGAGAACAGGCAGAGCACCCCUGCGGAGUCUCUGUGGGGACAAGCACUGAGGGCAAAGGGGCCAGUGCUUUUGUGCUUCCCUGACUCCCAGCUUUUCCUGCAGCCCACUGCAGGACCACGUUAGGUACAUUGGAUUAAGGUGUGUGUGUGGGGGGGGGGAAGAAGCUGCAUUUUGGGAGUGUGGUGUCAAAGUUAUAAAAUUUAGAUUUUGUUUUAUAUUGUUAAAAAUUAGUGCAGUGUUCGGGAUUUUUAGUUUCAUUUCAUUUUGCUUUGGAAUUUUCUAACAUUUUGUGAGUGGAAUGUAACAUUUUUGUAUGUUUCCAUUAUGUUUUUGCUAAGCUUUAUGUAGUCUGAGGGUACAUUUAUUCAUAGAUAUAGAAUCAUUGUGUUGUGUGAGUAUAAUAUCAAAAUUUUCUCUUAAUGAUUAAAUACUGGCUUGCCUGAAUUUCAA